Molecule: long non-coding RNA, 3440 nt
Organism: Manis javanica (Malayan pangolin)
Lineage: Eukaryota; Metazoa; Chordata; Mammalia; Pholidota; Manidae
Source: RefSeq, a predicted model, not a curated record
GGGUUGAAAAAAAAUAUGAGUGCUCUCUUUUGUGUGCGGACAAACAGCCGAGCGCGGGGAGGUCGGGGCCGGGGUCAGGCGCUCCGGGCUGCAGCUGCCGCCGUGGGGAGGGGGGCCCCGGGCGGCCCCCCGGAGUCGCGGCCACGGCGGCAUCAGCCUUCCGGCGGCGCGGGCGGCCACUGUCCUCGCGCGACCCCGGCCUGUCGGGAGCGAGACCCGCUCCGCCCCUGGGGCGCCCAGCCCCGAGCAAGGAAGUCACAGUAAAAGAAUCAAAGCUCAUGACGCCCAUCCAGAGUACUCCUGGUGACACUUCCUGACAUAAAGUCAUAAAUGCAGCUGGAAAGAAAAUGUGGAGGACACAGAAAAGUGGAAAUGAAAACUGAAAGGCCCCAGCGGGCCCGCCGGCCCCUCUCCAGGGGAGCCCGAGUCCCUGCCAGCAGCAGUGGCCCAGGAGCCUUCAGAUUCUGUGCCCUGUCCCUUCGCUGUUACCCACAUGUGGACACCAGGAAGUUAGAUUCCUAGAAGCAUCAAUUCCAACCCAACCCAUGUAUGCAUUUUCAGUCUGGCUGGAUUUACACUUCCUUCCACAAGGAUGAGGUUCGUCUCCACAGCCCCUGCCAGCCCUGGGCAUCACCACGUCUGGGUAGUUUCCAUGCGAGGCACGUGCUCAGGGACAGCCUUGUGAGGCCCCACAGGCCACAGUGAUGAGGCAGAGAGGCAGAGAUGAGAAGUGGGCUCAGGGACUCUCUGGGACCUGGGAGGAUGGGCCAGAGCCACAGCCCAUGGCCACACCCUCAGGGCCUGGCAGGCCCACCCUGCAUUCACCUCCCAUGACAUCUUACAGAGUGAAGGGCCUGCCUUUGGGCCAAAAAAGGUGACUGGGAUGUUACGGGCCAGCUUGCUCCAGGCCGUUUGUGAGACAGCCCUCUGCAGGGGCUGCGGCUGAGACACCUGCCCCGGGGCACUUAACCAUCCACCUGCCUCUGCUGUGGUCUCCUUGGCAGAUUCAGCUCUGCCCUCAGAGAGCUGGCGACUUGUGGAAACAGUCAGAUGCCAUUCUGAGCCAAGCCCAGCGGGGCUGCUGCCGGGAGAGACCCAGGCCACUCGGGCAAGAGACCUCCAAACAGUGAAGCCCAUGUGCCCCAAACCACCACUGCUUGGAUAAAGUUCUGAGAGAGAGGGUGCAAACUUGUUUCCAUGGGUGGUGGUGUCGCCAGGUCAGGAGGCAGCCUCCAAGGUGACAAGGGAACUCACAGGGAGAGAGUGAGUUCAGCACGUCAGUUAAAAUCUCCAUUUGCUGGGCCCAUCACCUGCCUCCACGGGGGUCGGGCACCGUCUGCUGAGCUUGGCCACACAGUGCUCUUCCCCCGGCCGCCGCCUCGCCCCCCAGGCCCCCCGGAGCCCCUUGCUCCUCCCACAGCCUACUGAGCUUCCAUCUCAUUGUGCAGCCACUUCUUGUCACCUUGACCACCCUCCCCAUCCCAACACCCAGUCCCUGGAGGCCAAAGAUCAUGUCUUUCCCCAGCUGUGUCUCCACAGCUCAAAACAGCACAUGCUGCAUGGUAGGGAUGUGGUACAUCAGGGGUGGAAGAAGAGAGGCCCUGGGGCAGGGCAUCCAGAGACCUGGGACUGGGUCCUGGGCUGGCCGCUGGCACCGGGAUCUUGUUCCUCAGUUUCUUCAUCUGGGCGAAGGGUAGUUGGGAUAACAGGUGCCAGAGGCCUUUCCAAUUCCAUUGUGUGAGGGCUCUUCAGGCCAGGGCUUGAUGGGAGAGGCCAGGGCAAGCUGAGGCGGCCCCACCUCUGCCCCGUGCGUGAUGAGGGGCAGCCUCCUCCACGGCCUCCCUCUGUGUGCUCAGUGCCUCCAGGCCAGCUCCAGGCCCGUCGGCAUCCCAGGAAGGCAGCAGAGGUGGACGGAGGGCACGAAAGGACACGCUUUCACUGACCACCCAGCCCAGCAAAGCUAGAAUCUGUCAAAAAGUAAAAAUUCCAUUUGUAAACAAGAUCAAAUUAUUUGAUUGUGAAACCAGGGUCCAUGGAAUUUAAAACAAUUUAAUGUGAAACAAUAUAAUUUGAAAUGCUGACCAGCCAAGACCUGGGGGUGGAGGGGCUCAGCCUCCUGUGGCCAGACACAUGGAACCCAGCCUCAAGGAAUAAUAAGUCACUGUUCGACAAGGGUGAAUGGGCAUCAGCUGCGUGGCAACCCCAGGCCAGACCUGGGGCAGCAGGCCCGGCUCCCGUCCUCCUGGGGCUGGCAGUCCUGAUGGGCAAGCAGGACUCUCACAAUCAGAAAAGCAGUGCCAGAGAGCGGGAAGGGCUCCGUGGAGUGGCAUAUGAUCCAAGUGACAAGGGAGGCUCAGAGAGAGCCCCGAGGGGCACCCGGUGGGCAGGACAGCAGAGAAGCAUAUUCAGGGUGGAAAGGGCGGUCAGGUCCCUCCCAGCUGCGGGUGUGCUGCCCUGCGUGAUUCUGGGCCAGCAAAUCACUCGUUAGCCUCAGUGUUGUUAUCCACAGAAUGGGAAACAUCUCAGUCCCGCUCCCCACCUGCAGUGAGGAUGAGAAAUCGUUUCCGGGCAUCCCACCCCACCAAGCUGACGUCACCAGUGGACAAACAAGCAAGCAUGAGUGAUGCAGUGGCCUGGUGAGCAGCUGCUGCGGGCAUGUGGCAGGCAGGUGCCCGGAGGCGCUGCAGUGCGUUCUGUGUCCAGCACCUGCGGGUGCUUUCCAGAGGGACGGCGGAGGCAGGGCCCGGCAGGUCCUGGUGCAGCAGAGCUCUGCUUCCACGUACCCUGCCUCAACGUAAACACAGCUGGUAAUGUUUCAGUACUGUAGGAGCAGGAAUAACAGACCCAGAGAAGCCAGACCAAGAGCUCGCGAAUGCUGACUUUCAUGUCGCACCCAGGCAUCGCAUGUGCAUCUUGGCGCCUGCGGGCCUGUUGCUCGGUGGGGAGGUGGGGGGCUAGUGUGUUUAGGAAACCGAACUACGGGCACAGCAGCGGGAGGAUGUCAGGCCUCACCUCCCUUCAUCCUCCCAAACGCAGCUCCCACCACAGCAAACCUGGAGGCUACCUGGGAUGUGGGGGGGCACCAGGGCCUCUAGGUUUUAAGUGACCUAGGAGACAGUGGGGCAGGGUGGGGACUUCUCAUCAGUGAGGUGCCACCUUAGGCACAUCCCCUAACCUCUGCAUGCAAACAGGCCCUGGAAUACACCCAAGGUCAACUGGCCAGUGAGAAGCUGACCUAGAACUCAAGCCAGGCCCCAGUCUCCCCAUGUCCCUGCUGCCCGCUGCGGAACCUGACCCACUGCCAGACCCGAACCUGCAAACCAACCACCUGUGGGUUCUGGGUAGCACAGAGCCCUUGGAGACCGUGAUGCUGAGAAGCAGUGUUUUUGUUCGCCCCUGAGUCUUGCCAGGUCACAUUGUCAAGGCCAGCACUUUGGAGA